CUGGAAAUUAUAUUUUUAAUAUUGAAAUGUGGCUCAUGAUUCCAAAGCAUGGCAAACAUGGAUGAAUACAUGCAAUAACUGGUUUUUUUAUAGCAAAAUUUUUGAAAAUAGAAAACAUUCCCCUGUUUUUGCAAUCAUUUUGGGAAUUUAUAUUUGUUCAACUUGGACAAAAGAAAUGAACUUUCAUACAACUUUAUCACCGUUUUCCAUGAAAUCCAUCGUCAUUCUUCACGGAACAGAAUCAAAAUCCCCUUUGCUUACCCAUGUUCUCUUCCUUUCAUACAACUUUAUCUGAGCAACAUUCGCCAUUGUCGGUUGGUGCACAGCUUUAACAGCUUUUUGUCCAUUCAUUUAGCUCUUCAAAUCCAUCCAAAAUCUUCACUCCUCGCUGUCUUAAGCUCACUCGCCAUCUUUUCUUUAUGUACAAAUCUGCCUCACAUGCCUUAAAUUUUGGUUAAUAAUCAGUUAUAUAAAGAGUGAUUCGAGUUCACUGUAUUGUUAAUAUGAUGAGAAGAUUGGAAAGAUUUGAACUUUAACUCCGUUGAUUGCUGCUUUAGUGACUGCUUGCAGAUCCAGUAAGACUAUAGUACCGUUGUGUCCAAGAACUUCAGAAUGGAAUGGAAAAUCAGGUAAAUGUUUAGUGCUUCGCUGCAUAUCCGUUUGUAUCCGUUCAAAUUGUUUUUGUCAAUUUAUGCUCUUUGUUUUAAAGUUUACAAAAAUUCUGUCAGAUUUCUUAAUUAGAGUGAGCUGUUAAAUGCUAAAAUUAGAGGUCAAGUUGCUAUCUCUUUUCAAGAUAAACCCCCAGAAAAAAUAUGACAGAUGAUUCGGCCAGAAAAAGGCUCUUUAGCUGAGAUGAUUAAAGGGACAAAGUGGGUCUGGGAGUGAAGCCAAGUGGGUAUAAGAAAACAGAAAAUGCUGAGCCUGAAUGUUGCUGCAAAGGGGUUGUGAAAAGGCUGUUGAUUAGCGCAUUUCGAGCUAAGAAACAUGUUCAUUUCAUAUGACUCACAUGCAUCUGCCUCUAUCAUAAUCAUUUAAGCAAAUUGCUAGUUCUGGAGGAUAAGUUUGUUAGAUUAAUGAAUAUAUGAGCGGUUAUGGUCUCUCUAAAAGUUAAAUUGAGGCUGCGUUUCUUUUUAUUAUUUUUAGCUGCUUGCAAAAUGCAAAACCUAUUUGUUUAAUGGCAAUUAUAGUAACGCUUAACCUUGCCUUUUAAACUGCUUAAAUCAGCUUUCAAAGAUUUUGCAGGAAAAAGAAUGAAAAGAGUGUCUUUUGGCAGGUGAGAAUCUUGAAAUUCAGCAGUUGAUGGAUAAAUUGAGAGUGAUAAAGGGACUCCGUCCAAUUGGGUGUGCAUUAGAGAUAGAAAGAGAGGGAGGGUGGGGUCUGUUCGAUAGUCCUCAAAGUUGGCUUUAUUGUAGUGGGGUGUUGUGAUGGUUUGGAGAAUGUAACUGUCGUUAUAUCACGUGACUAUGCCCUUCUGUUUCCAUCACAUAGGAUUCUUCAAUUUUGUUUUAUUUCCCUGUGGAAAGAUGUAGUGGUAGUAACUAUCUUGCAUAGGCUGCCAUGCCCAUGGCUAUAUAUGCACUGUUAACUUCAAAGCUCCUGUUGUUCUAUACCCUUUUUGUCUUUUAUGGGCGGGUUGUUGUUCCACAUUUCGUGUUGGAUUGGGCUUCUUGAUUUACUCAAGAGCAAGAAACAGUGAGGUAUCAACCGGAAAAGGAAAAGAAAGGUAAACAUAUAAUUCUUAUUUGUAACACAAAAUCAGUGUAGGUGCAGAAUUAAAAUGAAGGCCCUUCUGCAUUUAUGAAGCUCUAUUUGAUUAAAUUUUAUUGUAGUUGAGCCUAACAUUUUAAGGAUUCACCAAAAACUAAGAUGUGGGUCACUUAACUUCAGAGGGUUUUUUUUUAAUAUGUUUUGGUGAAAAUUUUCAGAAAAAGAUGUGCAUUUUCUAAAAGUUUGGUGGGAUGUGCUGGAGGUAUGGAUGGCAUGUGGAUUUAUUGUAAAGUCAGUGAAUGGGACUUGUUCUUUUCUAUCUUCUCUGUUUGCGGGUUCUAUCUUCUCUGUUUGCGGGUGUAAAGCAGGGAUAUGCAUGGAUGCUUGGAAUUCACUAGGAUAUUCUUUUGAUCGUGUUUUCAGAUUCCAUUCUAAUUGCAUAUUCAGUAUAAAUAUUUGAUUCGUUGCAGAUCAACAAGUAUAUUGUUUCAGGAACUUCAAGAAAUAUAUUGUGAAGAUUGAGGCAUAAGAACCAUGGAUCUUGGGCAUGGUAAAUGUUGGGAUACCUCAAAGAAGGAUUCUUGGAAGACACUGUUGGUUUUGGCUUAUCAGAGCCUUGGCGUGGUAUAUGGGGACCUUAGCACUUCCCCUCUCUACGUUUACAAGAGCACAUUUGCAGAAGAUAUCCAGCAUUCAGACUCCAAUGAAGAGAUUUUUGGUGUUCUGUCAUUUGUAUUCUGGACUCUCACUUUGGUCCCCUUGUUCAAGUAUGUCUUCAUUGUACUUAGAGCUGAUGACAAUGGAGAGGGCGGUACUUUUGCAUUAUAUUCCUUGAUAUGCCGGCAUGCAAAAGUUAGCCUUCUGCCCAAUAGACAGGUUGCAGAUGAAGCACUAUCCACUUACAAAAUGGAGCACCCUCCAGAGAAGAAUAAUAAUUCAAGGGUUAAAAUGUACCUUGAGAAGCACAAGGGAUUGCAUACUGCUUUGCUGAUCUUGGUACUUCUUGGUACAUGUAUGGUAAUUGGAGAUGGACUGCUUACUCCGGCAAUUUCUGUUUUUUCUGCAGUGUCUGGCCUUGAGUUAUCCAUGUCCAAGGAGCAUCAUCAGUAUGCUGUGAUUCCAAUCACUUGCUUUAUCUUGGUUUGUCUUUUUGCACUACAACACUAUGGGACACAUCGAGUGGGAUUUUUCUUUGCACCAGUAGUACUGACAUGGCUAGUAUGCAUCAGUGCCCUUGGUUUAUAUAACAUAAUCCACUGGAAUCCACAUGUCUAUCAAGCUCUUUCCCCAUAUUACAUGUUUAAGUUCUUGAAGAAAACAAGGAAAGACGGGUGGAUGUCUUUGGGUGGAAUAUUGUUGUGCAUAACAGGUUCAGAGGCAAUGUUUGCUGAUCUUGGUCAUUUCUCUUAUGCUGCAAUUCAGAUUGCUUUCACAUUUAUGGUUUAUCCAGCACUUAUAUUGGCAUAUAUGGGGCAAGCUGCAUAUCUUUCGCAACAUCAUGAUGACAAUAGUCAUAUUGGUUUUUAUAUCUCAGUUCCAGGUAAUACCAUCUUCAUUCUUUUUAAAGGAAACCACAAUGUUAAAUGUGCAUAGUCUUGAUAGGAGGUUACACUACAUGAUUAAUUAGUAUUCACUCCAGUGCAUAUUUGCUGUCCUGCCAAUGCUGACUGAACUUAAAAUGUGUCAACCCUGGCAACUUAAGAAAAUGUAAUGUCUCUAUUUGUUGGGGUCCUGGGGAUUAUUUUCUUCAAAACAUUGGUGGUUGUGUACUUGACUAAGAUAGUGAUGACUUUGGAUGCAGAAAAAUUGAGGUUACCAGUGCUAAUAAUAGCCAUUCUUGCUUCUGUGGUCGGAAGCCAAGCAAUUAUCAGUGGAACAUUCUCUAUCAUAAACCAGAGCCAGUCUCUUGGCUGCUUCCCAAAGGUGAAAGUUGUUCAUACGUCUGAUGAGAUACACGGCCAGAUAUAUAUCCCUGAGAUAAAUUGGAUUCUCAUGGUCCUCUGCAUUGCUGUGACUAUUGGAUUUAGAGACACAAAACACAUGGGAAAUGCAUCAGGUAAGUUGCAUUUGCAUCACCAAUGUUGGCUCUGAUCCUUAUUUUUCUAAUAUAUCAUCAAAUUAGUUUUCCCAUAUCAAUUAAAUUUUUUCAUAUUAUUGGAAAUCAUUUCAAGUUCAUUUCCCUAUUCAUAAGGAGCAGUGUCCAUUUCUAGUUCUAAGUCCUUUGGGGCAUGCCUAGCCUAUCAUUUGCCGAAUUGACUUUGUUAAACAACUUGCUUCAUCUCACAAUUGAUGAUCAAAUUGUUAUUAAGCACCUAAAUUUAUACAAUUAAGAAAUGAAUCUUGACUUUUAAGUUUUACAAUCUCAUGGUUUUCUGUUGCAGGAUUAGCAGUGAUGACGGUAAUGCUAGUGACCACAUGCCUUACUUCCCUGGUUAUCAUCCUCUGUUGGAACAAGCUCCCCAUCAUAGCGCUUUCCUUCCUACUUUUCUUUGGCUCUGUUGAACUGCUCUACUUCUCAGCUUCACUCACCAAGUUCACUGAGGGUGCCUGGCUUCCCAUCCUCUUAGCCCUCUUCCUCAUGACCAUUAUGUUUGUUUGGCAUUAUGCCACCAUUAAAAAAUAUGAAUUUGAUCUCCAUAACAAGGUAUCACUAG
RNAcentral lists this unclassified non-coding RNA (4361 nucleotides) under Hevea brasiliensis (rubber tree). The record is from RNAcentral. Lineage: Eukaryota; Viridiplantae; Streptophyta; Magnoliopsida; Malpighiales; Euphorbiaceae.